This 510-nucleotide ribosomal RNA is filed under the name uncultured bacterium. Its description in RNAcentral is "bacterial SSU rRNA". It matches the Rfam family "Bacterial small subunit ribosomal RNA", at positions 15 to 518 of the family's 1533-position model. The record is from RNAcentral.
GAUCAUGGCUCAGGACGAACGCUGGCGGCGUGCUUAACACAUGCAAGUCGAACGGGGAUUAGUUGAUUGAGAGCUUCGGCAGGAUAUCGAUUAAUUCGAGUGGCGGACGGGUGAGUAACGCGUGAGCAACCUGUCCCAGACAGGGGGAUAACACUUGGAAACAGGUGCUAAUACCGCAUAAGACCACGGGAUCACAUGGUUCCGGGGUAAAAGGAGCAAUCCGGUUUGGGGUGGGCUCGCGUCCGAUUAGCCAGUUGGCGGGGUAACGGCCCACCAAAGCGACGAUCGGUAGCCGACCUGAGAGGGUGAACGGCCACAUUGGAACUGAGAGACGGUCCAAACUCCUACGGGAGGCAGCAGUGGGGAAUAUUGGGCAAUGGGCGAAAGCCCUGACCCAGCAACGCCGCGUGAGUGAAGAAGGCCUUCGGGUUGUAAAGCUCUGUUAUAGUUGACGAAGGAAGUGACGGUAGGCUAUAAGGAAGCCCCGGCUAACUACGUGCCAGCCGCCGC